GGGUCGGCUUUAGCUCAAGCGGUUACUCCGUCCCACUGGACUUCUAGUUCCUAUAUGGGGGUUCGAGACCCGCGGGUGCUUUCUGACCCUUUU
This is a vault RNA of Camelus dromedarius (Arabian camel), 93 nucleotides long. Its record names the gene Vault. It matches the Rfam family "Vault RNA". Rfam says of the family: This family of RNAs are found as part of the enigmatic vault ribonucleoprotein complex. The record is from Ensembl. NCBI's taxonomy places the organism in Eukaryota, Metazoa, Chordata, Mammalia, Artiodactyla, Camelidae.